This 233-nucleotide ribosomal RNA is filed under the name uncultured bacterium. RNAcentral describes it as "partial 16S ribosomal RNA". It matches the Rfam family "Bacterial small subunit ribosomal RNA", at positions 118 to 350 of the family's 1533-position model. The record is from RNAcentral.
UGAGUAACCUGCCCUUCACUCUGGGAUAACUCCGGGGAAACCGGGGCUAAUACUGGAUAUGACUCGAACAGGCAUCUGUUUCGGGUGGAAAGAUUUAUUGGUGGAGGAUGGACUCGCGGCCUAUCAGCUUGUUGGUGAGGUAAUGGCUCACCAAGGCGACGACGGGUAGCCGACCUGAGAGGGUGAUCGGCCACAUUGGAACUGAGACACGGCCCAGACUCCUACGGGAGGCA